AGCUUUGCGCAGUGGCAGUAUCGUAGCCAAUGAGGUUUAUCCAAGGCAUGAUUAUUGCUAAUUAAAGGCCCUAUCUCCAAAUGCAGUCAUGUUGGGAGUUAGGGCUUUAAAAUGUGAAUUUGGGGGGGGACACAGUUUAGUCC
Small nuclear RNA from Zalophus californianus (California sea lion), 143 nucleotides. Its record names the gene U4. It matches the Rfam family "U4 spliceosomal RNA". Rfam says of the family: U4 small nuclear RNA (U4 snRNA) is a component of the major U2-dependent spliceosome. The record is from Ensembl. NCBI's taxonomy places the organism in Eukaryota, Metazoa, Chordata, Mammalia, Carnivora, Otariidae.